UUUUUAUUGAGAGUUUGAUCCUGGCUCAGGACGAACGCUGGCGGCGUGCCUAACACAUGCAAGUCGAGCGAUG
This 73-nucleotide ribosomal RNA is filed under the name Clostridium botulinum. Its description in RNAcentral is "partial 16S ribosomal RNA". It matches the Rfam family "Bacterial small subunit ribosomal RNA", at positions 1 to 71 of the family's 1533-position model. Lineage: Bacteria; Bacillati; Bacillota; Clostridia; Eubacteriales; Clostridiaceae. The record is from RNAcentral.